AGCCUGGCGGCGUGCUUACCAUGCAGUCGAACGAUGAACCUCACUUGUGGGGGGAUUAGUGGCGAACGGGUGAGUAACACGUGAGUAACCUGCCCUUAACUCUGGGAUAAGCCUUGGAAACGAGGUCUAAUACUGGAUAUUGACUUUACCUCGCAUGGGGUUUUGUUGAAAGAUUUAUUGGUUUUGGAUGGACUCGCGGCCUAUCAGCUUGUUGGUGAGGUAAUGGCUCACCAAGGCGACGACGGGUAGCCGGCCUGAGAGGGUGACCGGCCACACUGGGACUGAGACACGGCCCACACUCCUACCGGAGGCAGCAGUGGGGAAUAAUGUCCACUGUGGGAAAACCCUCAUUACGCGCCGCCCCCGUGAGGAGGAGAGGGCGCCUCUCCGUUGUAGAACUUCUUUCUAAAAGGAACAAAGGCCCAAAGUGUAGUAUCGUCUUGGGGGCACCUGUUAAACAAAACGGCCAGCUAACUAACUUGUCUUCCCAACCCGCUUUAAAUAUUUUAUGUGGACACGGGUUUAUACGGGAUAUCUUGGGGGGCUAAAAAGAUUAUUUAGGGGGGUUUUGUCGCCGCCUGCCGGGGGUACACCCCGAAGAUCUCCACCUCCUGGAUUAUCCCUUUUUUGCCCCUGCCACCACCAAGAAGGGGGUUGCUUUGGGGAGGACUAGUGGUAUCCCCGGCGGGUAGAAAGGCGGGAAAAAGUGCCCCCCUCACCCCCAGGGGGGCCACCACCCUGUUCCCCAUGGAAGAUCUCCUCGGGGGAUUUAUAAUUGCUCGCUUGCUGGGAGCCCCCAUAGCUUUUGUGGGCCGCCGAAACAAGGAAGUAAUAAUGACCCCCGCGGGGAGCCUCUGCGUUCGCCGAAAACAGGGGGGGGCCCCCCACUCAUGAUGGG
This 898-nucleotide ribosomal RNA is filed under the name Arthrobacter sp. A-17p. Its description in RNAcentral is "partial 16S ribosomal RNA". The stretch from base 7 to 361 matches the Rfam family "Bacterial small subunit ribosomal RNA", at positions 39 to 400 of the family's 1533-position model. The record is from RNAcentral. Lineage: Bacteria; Bacillati; Actinomycetota; Actinomycetes; Micrococcales; Micrococcaceae.